AAGCAAACUGGUUCUAUCGCUGUCUUGCCCUUGGGCAGGAGAGAGGAAAGUCCGGGCAACAUAGAGCAACACGCUUCCUAACGGGAAGGCUCUUAUGUAAAUAAGAGACAGAAAGUGCCACAGAAAGGAUACCGCCUCGACACGUUCGAGGUAAGGGUGAAAGCGUGAGGUAAGAGCUCACGGUAUUGUAUGGUGACAUGCAUUACGGUAAACCUCGUGUGUUGAAAGACCAAAUAGAUUACGAAAUUCGAAGGCUGCUCGUCUUCUCUCGACCUGUCGAGAUUCGUAAUGGGUAGGUUGAUGGAGCCUGUGUGCGAAUGCAGGCCUAGAUAAAUGAUAGAAGUCCAAAAAAUACGGAUACAGAACCCGGCUUACAAGGUUUGCUUCUUU
RNAcentral lists this RNase P RNA (390 nucleotides) under Sphingobacterium arenae. RNAcentral's name for it is "RNase P RNA component class A". It matches the Rfam family "Bacterial RNase P class A". Rfam says of the family: Ribonuclease P (RNase P) is a ubiquitous endoribonuclease, found in archaea, bacteria and eukarya as well as chloroplasts and mitochondria. Its best characterised activity is the generation of mature 5'-ends of tRNAs by cleaving the 5'-leader elements of precursor-tRNAs. Lineage: Bacteria; Pseudomonadati; Bacteroidota; Sphingobacteriia; Sphingobacteriales; Sphingobacteriaceae. The record is from RNAcentral.